GGUGACUCAGUGGUAGAGUGCUUGCCUUGCAUGCAGGAAGACCUGGGUUCAAUUCCUCAGCACCA
Molecule: non-coding RNA, 65 nt
Organism: Dipodomys ordii (Ord's kangaroo rat)
Lineage: Eukaryota; Metazoa; Chordata; Mammalia; Rodentia; Heteromyidae
Source: Rfam